This 913-nucleotide long non-coding RNA is filed under the name Vigna radiata. RNAcentral's name for it is "long non-coding RNA (VRAD_LNC012344)". The record is from RNAcentral. Lineage: Eukaryota; Viridiplantae; Streptophyta; Magnoliopsida; Fabales; Fabaceae.
UAUAAGAAUGCUAGACAUAGCAACCAUGAUCCGUAAGCACCUAAUCUAAAUCACCUUUUCAAUUGAAAUCAAGGCAUAUAAUAUGAAUGAAAGAAAGAAAAAAAAAACAAUUCUGAACCGUGGCCCCCUUUAAUAAUGUUAAAGUGUGUGGCCUUUUGAAAGCACCGUGCAGCACAAAAAAAAAUAAUAAUAAUAAAAGAAAGCAUGAAGUUGGAUUUCAAAGCAAAAGAACUAGGCUUCAUCCCAUUCAUAGCAAAAGAAAUCUAAUCCUAAAAAUGGGUGGCGGCCACAACUCCCCCUUCACCAUUUACUUUCUAAAUCAACAAAAAGAGAUGUGCUACAACGAAUUUAAAGUCAACGUCUUUCUCUUCUUCAACAAUGAAAGGCUAAAAUUAAAUGUUUCCUCCUCUCGCUAGCAAAUAAACUUUCAAAACCUCAACAUCCAAGAACGUUUAAAAAAAAAAAAAGAGCAAAGUCAAAUGAGUGGCUUGAAUUUCUACAAUCAGCAUUUUAAUGUAGCAAAAUAAUAUGCUUCAACCGUAGCCCUGGGGAAGCAACGUUCACUCUUUGUAAAUAACCUUCAACCAUAGCCCUCCAUCUUAGUUUAUGUACGUGCUUUUCUACAAGGAAUAAUGUGUGGUAGGUGACUCUAGGUGGCGGCUGUUGCUUAGUGUCCUAGGAAUAUCUCCUAGGUUUACGUGUCAAGGCUCUUCUAUCUGCCAGCUGCUGCACUAACUCCUCUUCAAAUUAUCAUUGGGCUUCACUGCCCAUGUUGGACAUGUGCUGCACAAAGUAAUUUGAAUCAAUCUGGGACGUGUUGUUGCUGUGUGGAUGUUGUUGCCCGGUUGACACAGGCCCAAGUGAAUGUCCACGAGGAAAUCAGGUGCACCUCCUAUAAGCUUUCCAAUUUAAU